AUGGGGCUUUUGCUUCUCGUUAGGUAUAACUUUCCCAGGGGCCGAUAUUAUUCCUUCGGGAGCUGUCCCUGCCUAAACUUGAGGGUUUUGGCAUAUGGCGCCCACCUGCUUUUGCGGGCCACGAGAGGAUACAUUGCACCGACGGUUGUGAAGGCUUCAUU
RNAcentral lists this non-coding RNA (161 nucleotides) under Caedimonas varicaedens. Its description in RNAcentral is "Caedibacter varicaedens 6S / SsrS RNA". It matches the Rfam family "6S / SsrS RNA". From Rfam's summary of the family: E. coli 6S RNA was the first non coding RNA to be sequenced, but its function was unknown until recently. It consists of 184 nucleotides that fold into an extended hairpin structure with a large single-stranded internal bulge. The 6S RNA specifically associates with RNA polymerase holoenzyme containing the sigma70 specificity factor. Lineage: Bacteria; Pseudomonadati; Pseudomonadota; Alphaproteobacteria; Holosporales; Caedimonadaceae. The record is from Rfam by way of RNAcentral.